This 229-nucleotide ribosomal RNA is filed under the name Cryptocaryon irritans. Its description in RNAcentral is "partial 18S ribosomal RNA". It matches the Rfam family "Eukaryotic small subunit ribosomal RNA", at positions 1592 to 1830 of the family's 1831-position model. The record is from RNAcentral. Lineage: Eukaryota; Ciliophora.
GUUCCCCUUGAACGAGGAAUUCCUAGUAAGUGCAAGUCAUCAGCUUGUACUGAUUACGUCCCUGCCCUUUGUACACACCGCCCGUCGCUCCUACCGAUUUCGAGUGAUCCGGUGAACCUUCUGGACUGCGCUAACAAUAGUUAGUGCGGGAAGUUAAGUAAACCACUUCACUUAGAGGAAGGAGAAGUCGUAACAAGGUUUCCGUAGGUGAACCUGCGGAAGGAUCAUU